Molecule: ribosomal RNA, 490 nt
Filed under: uncultured bacterium
Lineage: Bacteria
Description: partial 16S ribosomal RNA
Rfam family: Bacterial small subunit ribosomal RNA
Source: RNAcentral
AUUGAACGCUGGCGGCAGGCCUAACACAUGCAAGUCGAACGGUAACAGGAAGAAUCUUGCUUCUUUGCUGACGAGUGGCGGACGGGUGAGUAAUGUCUGGGAAACUGCCUGAUGGAGGGGGAUAACUACUGGAAACGGUAGCUAAUACCGCAUAACGUCGCAAGACCAAAGAGGGGGACCUUCGGGCCUCUUGCCAUCGGAUGUGCCCAGAUGGGAUUAGCUAGUAGGUGGGGUAACGGCUCACCUAGGCGACGAUCCCUAGCUGGUCUGAGAGGAUGACCAGCCACACUGGAACUGAGACAAGGUCCAGACUCCUACGGGAGGCAGCAGUGGGGAAUAUUGCACAAUGGGCGCAAGCCUGAUGCAGCCAUGCCGCGUGUAUGAAGAAGGCCUUCGGGUUGUAAAGUACUUUCAGCGGGGAGGAAGGGAGUAAAGUUAAUACCUUUGCUCAUUGACGUUACCCGCAGAAGAAGCACCGGCUAACUCCGUG